RNAcentral lists this ribosomal RNA (678 nucleotides) under Clostridiaceae bacterium OF09-1. RNAcentral describes it as "partial 23S ribosomal RNA". It matches the Rfam family "Bacterial large subunit ribosomal RNA", at positions 755 to 1436 of the family's 2925-position model. The record is from RNAcentral. Lineage: Bacteria; Bacillati; Bacillota; Clostridia; Eubacteriales; Clostridiaceae.
CGUAAAAGGCAAUGGAGGUCCGAACACACAUCCGUUGAAAAGGGUGGUGAUGAGGUGUGGGUAGGGGAGAAAUUCCAAUCGAACCCGGAGAUAGCUGGUUCUCCUCGAAAUAGCUUUAGGGCUAGCCUCGGUUUAGUCUGCUGGAGGUAGAGCACUGAAUUUCCUAGGGGGCGUCAAAGCUUACCGAAGAAUAUCAAACUCCGAAUGCCAGCCAGAUGAUGACCGGGAGUCAGACUGCACGAGAUAAGUUGGGUAGUCAAAAGGGAAAGAGCCCAGACCACCGGCUAAGGUCCCAAAGUACGUGUUAAGUGGAAAAGGAUGUGGGAUUUCAAAGACAACCAGGAUGUUGGCUCAGAAGCAGCCAUACAUUCAAAGAGUGCGUAAUAGCUCACUGGUCGAGAGGUCCUGCGCCGAAAAUGUCCGGGGCUGAAACACGACACCGAAGCUGUGGAAUUGACGAAUGUUAAUUGGUAGAGGAGCAUUCUUAGCGGGAUGAAGCAGUACCGAAAGGAGCUGUGGACUUCUAAGAAGAGAGAAUGCCGGAAUGAGUAGCGAGAGAGAGGUGAGAAUCCUCUCGGCCGAAUAUCUAAGGUUUCCAGAGUAAAGCUGAUCUGCUCUGGGUAAGUCGGGACCUAAGGCGAGGUCGAAAGACGUAGUCGAUGGACAACAGGUUGAGAU